This 465-nucleotide ribosomal RNA is filed under the name Vreelandella stevensii. Its description in RNAcentral is "partial 16S ribosomal RNA". It matches the Rfam family "Bacterial small subunit ribosomal RNA", at positions 338 to 795 of the family's 1533-position model. The record is from RNAcentral. Lineage: Bacteria; Pseudomonadati; Pseudomonadota; Gammaproteobacteria; Oceanospirillales; Halomonadaceae.
CCUACGGGAGGCAGCAGUGGGGAAUAUUGGACAAUGGGGGCAACCCUGAUCCAGCCAUGCCGGGGGUGUGAAAAAGGCCCUCGGGUGGUAAAGCACUUUCAGGGAGGAAGAACGCCUGGGGGUUAAUACCCACCGGGAAAGACAUCACUCACGGAGGAAGCACCGGCUAACUCCGUGCCAGCAGCCGCGGUAAUACGGAGGGUGCGAGCGUUAAUCGGAAUUACUGGGCGUAAAGCGCGCGUAGGUGGCUUGAUAAGCCGGUUGUGAAAGCCCCGGGCUCAACCUGGGAACGGCAUCCGGAACUGUCAAGCUAGAGUGCAGGAGAGGAAGGUAGAAUUCCCGGUGUAGCGGUGAAAUGCGUAGAGAUCGGGAGGAAUACCAGUGGCGAAGGCGGCCUUCUGGACUGACACUGACACUGAGGUGCGAAAGCGUGGGUAGCAAACAGGAUUAGAUACCCUUGUAGUC